Molecule: long non-coding RNA, 420 nt
Filed under: Pan troglodytes (chimpanzee)
Lineage: Eukaryota; Metazoa; Chordata; Mammalia; Primates; Hominidae
Description: lincRNA
Source: RNAcentral
GUGGUAGGAUCAAGACACUGUUUUCUGUUCCAGCUCAUUUUGCGAACAAUGUUAUGUCACAGGUCACUUGGCUGUCCUUGGCUCAACUGUGAGUAAGGAGGAGUCCUGUGGAAUGAAAAAUGACUACCCAGAUUUGCCACCAAAAUCCAGCAGGAGUGCCUUAGAAAGCAGAGACGAGAGGACACAGACACACAGAGACGGCAUGUGAAGACAGGCAAGAUUGUGUGAUGCUGCCACGAGCCCAGGGAUGCUGGGACCAGAAGCUGGAAGAGACAAGGAAGGAUUCUCCGUCUCAGGGUUAUUGUGGUGACCACAGAAUGCAUUUGGAAGUGGCUUUGUAAACUGCAGAGUGAUAAGCCAAUUCAAUAUUUGGAGUUGUGUUUUAUCUUCCAAAGACCUCAGUAAACAUUUGUAGAACUG